Podarcis lilfordi (Lilford's wall lizard) is the source of this 67-nucleotide non-coding RNA. The record is from the annotation of a GenBank genome assembly. Lineage: Eukaryota; Metazoa; Chordata; Lepidosauria; Squamata; Lacertidae.
UGCCUGCACCCCGAAGCCUGGGGGCGCGCUGAGCUCAGCGCCCCCCAGGCUUCGGGGUGCAGGCAGC